This 352-nucleotide transfer-messenger RNA is filed under the name Ignavibacteriaceae. RNAcentral's name for it is "UTCHB3 sp016707285 Standard tmRNA". It matches the Rfam family "transfer-messenger RNA". Rfam says of the family: Bacterial tmRNA, also known as 10Sa RNA or SsrA, is named for its dual tRNA and mRNA-like properties. Its role is to liberate the mRNA from a stalled ribosome. The record is from RNAcentral. Lineage: Bacteria; Pseudomonadati; Ignavibacteriota; Ignavibacteria; Ignavibacteriales. RNAcentral also lists the same sequence under 1 other name.
GGGGGUGAAACUGGCUUCGACGGGGUUGACAGGAGCCUUGGAUUGCGUACCGUGUUAUCCGUGGACACGUUAAACAACGGUAAAAAAACACCAGGCGAAUCUUACGCCCUCGCAGCCUGAUUAGUUAGGCUGCCGUUUACGCAGAGUUCUCGUAUCAACUCUGUAGUGAACGCCAUUUAGAUACGAUAGUCGAUCCGAUCUCCGGGUAGGUGAGGCGAAUUAACACCGGAUAUUAGACGGGCGAUCCAGUCAGACGGAGCAACCGUAAUGAAACUAAAAUUCUGACUAUGUGCGUAGUAUAUUCUCUGAGCCUCAACUUCGGACGCGGGUUCGACUCCCGCCACCUCCACCA